AACGAACGCUGGCGGCGUGCCUAACACAUGCAAGUCGUGCGAGAAAGUUCCUUCGGGAGCGAGUAAAGCGGCGCACGGGUGAGUAACACGUAGGUAACCUGCCCCCCAGUCUGGAACAACUAGAGGAAACUCUAGCUAAUGCCGGAUGAGACCACGAUCCCUUCGGGGGUUGCGGCCAAAGAUGGCCUCUACUUGUAAGCUAUCGCUGAGGGAUGGGCCUGCGGGCCAUUAGCUUGUUGGUGAGGUAACGGCUCACCAAGGCUGUGAUGGCUAGCUGGUCUGAGAGGAUGACCAGCCACACUGGGACUGAGACACGGCCCAGACUCCUACGGAGGCAGCAGUGGGGAAUAUUGCGCAAUGGGCGAAAGCCUGACGCAGCCACGCCGCGUGAGUGAAGAAGGCCUCGGUUGUAAGACGUA
This 419-nucleotide ribosomal RNA is filed under the name uncultured bacterium. RNAcentral's name for it is "bacterial SSU rRNA". It matches the Rfam family "Bacterial small subunit ribosomal RNA", at positions 29 to 434 of the family's 1533-position model. The record is from RNAcentral.